RNAcentral lists this ribosomal RNA (253 nucleotides) under uncultured bacterium. RNAcentral's name for it is "partial 16S ribosomal RNA". It matches the Rfam family "Bacterial small subunit ribosomal RNA", at positions 524 to 776 of the family's 1533-position model. The record is from RNAcentral.
UACGGGGGGGGCAAGCGUUGUUCGGAAUUACUGGGCGUAAAGGGCUCGUAGGUGGCCAACUAAGUCGGACGUGAAAUCCCUCGGCUUAACCGGGGAACUGCGUCCGAUACUGGUUGGCUUGAGUUUGGGAGAGGGAUGCGGAAUUCCAGGUGUAGCGGUGAAAUGCGUAGAUAUCAGGAGGAAUACCGAUGGCGAAGGCAGGUCUCUGGGCUAUAACUGACGCUCAUGCACGAAAGCGUGGGGAGCAAACAGG